RNAcentral lists this microRNA precursor (67 nucleotides) under Podarcis lilfordi (Lilford's wall lizard). The record is from RNAcentral. Lineage: Eukaryota; Metazoa; Chordata; Lepidosauria; Squamata; Lacertidae.
UCUCUCUCUCUCUCUCUCUCUCACACACACACACACACAGAGAGAGAGAGAGAGAGAAAGAGAGAGA